AGAGUUUGAUCCUGGCUCAGAAUGAACGUUGGCGGCGUGGAUUAGGCAUGCAAGUCGAGCGAUCGUAGCAAUACGGGAGCGGCAAACGGGGUAGGAAUACCUCGGAACAUACCCUUAGGUCGGGGAUAGCGGCGGGAAACUGCCGGUAAUACCCGAUGAUCUCGAGAGAGCAAAGGUUUACUGCCUAGGGAGUGGCCGAGGCGAUAUUAGCUAGUUGGUGAGGUAAUGGCUCACCAAGGCUUCGAUGUCUAGGGGGCGUGAGAGCGCGACCCCCACCACUGGGACUGAGAAACUGCCCAGACACCUACGGGUGGCUGCAGUCGAGAAUCUUCGUCAAUGGGGGAAACCCUGAACGAGCGACGCCGCGUGUGGGAUGAAGGCCUUUGGGUUGUAAACCACUGUCAGGGGGGAUGAAACCGCAAGGUUGACAGAGCCCCAGAGGAAGCACGGGCUAAGUUCGUGCCAGCAGCCGCGGUAAUUC
This 481-nucleotide ribosomal RNA is filed under the name uncultured bacterium. RNAcentral describes it as "bacterial SSU rRNA". It matches the Rfam family "Bacterial small subunit ribosomal RNA", at positions 8 to 526 of the family's 1533-position model. The record is from RNAcentral.